GGGCGAGUGGCGGAAUGGCAGACGCGCCGGCCUUAGGAGCCGGUGCCGCGUUGAGCGGCGUGUCAGUUCGAGUCUGACCUCGCCUACCA
This 89-nucleotide transfer RNA is filed under the name Chloroflexota bacterium. RNAcentral's name for it is "Chloroflexi bacterium tRNA-Leu". It matches the Rfam family "tRNA". Rfam says of the family: Transfer RNA (tRNA) molecules are approximately 80 nucleotides in length. Their secondary structure includes four short double-helical elements and three loops (D, anti-codon, and T loops). The record is from RNAcentral. RNAcentral also lists the same sequence under 2 other names. Lineage: Bacteria; Bacillati; Chloroflexota.